UACCAGCUCUCCGAGUGGUAGGGAUGAUUAUUGGGCUUAAAGCAUCCGUAGCCGGCUUAGCAAGUCUCCUGUUAGAUUCAGCGACCUAAUCGUUGAGCCGCGGGAGACACUACUAGGCUUGGAGGCGGGAGAGGCCGACGGUAUUCUCGGGGUAGGGGUGAAAUCCUAUAAUCCCGGGAGGACCACCAGUGGCGAAGGCUGUCGGCUAGAACGCGCUCGACGGUGAGGGACGAAAGCUGGGGGAGCGAACCGGAUUAGAUACCCGGGUAGUCCCAGCUGUAAACGAUGCGGGCUAGGUGUUGGGGUGGCUACGAGCCACUUCAGUGCCGCAGGGAAGCCAUUAAGCCCGCCGCCUGGGGAUACGGCCGCAAGGCUGAAACUUAAGGAAUUGGCGGGGGAGCGACCACAAGGCGUGAAGCUUGCGGUUC
Molecule: ribosomal RNA, 428 nt
Filed under: uncultured archaeon
Lineage: Archaea
Description: bacterial SSU rRNA
Rfam family: Archaeal small subunit ribosomal RNA
Source: RNAcentral